GUCUAGUGGCGCACGGGUGCGUAACGCGUGGGAAUCUGCCCUUGGGUUCGGAAUAACAGUUAGAAAUGACUGCUAAUACCGGAUGAUGACUUCGGUCCAAAGAUUUAUCGCCCAAGGAUGAGCCCGCGUAGGAUUAGGUAGUUGGUGGGGUAAAGGCUCACCAAGCCGACGAUCCUUAGCUGGUCUGAGAGGAUGAUCAGCCACACUGGGACUGAGACACGGCCCAGACUCCUACGGGAGGCAGCAGUGGGGAAUAUUGGACAAUGGGCGAAAGCCUGAUCCAGCCAUGCCGCGUGUGUGAAGAAGGUCUUCGGAUUGUAAAGCACUUUAAGUUGGGAGGAAGGGCAGUUGCCUAAUACGUAACUGUUUUGACGUUACCGACAGAAUAAGCACCGGCUAACUCUGUGCCAGCAG
RNAcentral lists this ribosomal RNA (414 nucleotides) under uncultured bacterium. RNAcentral describes it as "bacterial SSU rRNA". It matches the Rfam family "Bacterial small subunit ribosomal RNA", at positions 90 to 514 of the family's 1533-position model. The record is from RNAcentral.